AAUAUUGGCAAACAAUAAGAUGAAAACAUGAAAAUGAAAGAGAUAAGUGACAGGAAAUAUAUUGUCUUUCUCUUUCUUGUACUUUCAUUACCUUCUUUCUUUUAUUUUCAUAUCUUUAUUCUUGGUUUUUGGCUUUCUUUUUACUUGUAUCUCAACUUCAAAAACCAAGAUGAAGGUAAUGUGAAAGAAAGAGAA
Molecule: non-coding RNA, 195 nt
Filed under: uncultured Symbiodinium
Lineage: Eukaryota; Dinophyceae; Suessiales; Symbiodiniaceae
Source: RNAcentral